AUUGUUUAUCUACUGACUCUUUCUUGCAGGCAUAGUAUUAGUUGCAUUAGUAAUGGUUACUUUCCUUCCUUUGAAAUACUUAUGCCUGGAUAGACCUAGUGGGUAAGUCGGCGAGGUCGGAUGCCGAGCCCACUGGGAACUUCGUUGUAGUUCUCACACCACUAACCCUACAGGUCCUAGCACGAGCGGGGCGGCGGAGGACCGAGGCAAGGGUUUGGCGCCAUAGGUAGCGGCCACCGGGGACUUUAUGCAUUUUGUAGUCAUUCCCUUUUUGUUAUACAUGUAUCAACUUUAUUUUGUUGAUUUAGGUAUGUAAAGUGAAAACAAUCAUGUAAUGGUGGAUGACUAAAUGUAAAAGAUAUAAUGGUUGGAUGGAAUGUAAUAGUUUUAUUUACUUGAAUUUGGUUUAAAGAAAAUCAAAUAACAUGUGUGAUGUAUAUUUAGCUUAGAGCUUUCGCUUCCGUUGUUGCUUGCCCUCGUGCAAGCCUUGUAUUAUAUAUGCAAUUCCCUUGUUGGUUGCCUAUUUAUACAUGUUGUUUGAGCCUUGGGCGGACAGGGGAGGCUCUGUCCGUUCGGCGUCUGUUGACGUGACCCGAACCCGACCAAAUUGGCGGGGAUUGGGGCGUGACAGAUAUGCAGAUAGAUAGAUAUAUAAAACUGAAAACAGUACAGUAAUAAGCAACUAUAAUCUAUCAAUGCCUCAAUCCAGUGAAAUGCAUGCAUGGAACUCAUAGUAAGAAGGCUGACUAACUCACUACUAUGUUCAACGACAAGAUCACUUAUCUGAUUACCCAAUCUCUCGGCGAACGCAAGGUUCGCUCACAGUCUCACGUCUCUAAGUCUCAUAGGAGAGGUGGCUAGCUAUUCACCUACCCCGAGACCGCCUGCAGACACUACACUGGUCCAAAGGCACUACACUGGCCCCCUCGCGUGCCAAACUUCGGAGUGCACUACCUGUGAGGAGCUACCUCCACAGGUGCAGACAGGCUAAGUGAGCUCGAUCCAAUCUCACGAACUGGAAACACCCUAUCCAACUAGGGGUGAUAGCAACAUAGUAUUCAAUUAUACUAGGGUUCUCAUGCCACUCUUGCACUACUUAAUGCCACUCGUUCAAUGUUUAGGUUAACUAGAUGCCACUCGUUCUCUUGACAGGUUCUUGAUACACUAGUUUCCAAUACACUAGGUUCAUAUUCACAUAAACAAAUCCAUCAUCUAUAUAGGGCGAUCUAUCUCAUAGUAUUCAACUCAUGCAUACUAGGUUUUCAUUCAUGGUAUCUACCACCCAAACUAUCACUAGCAUGCAAAGAUGUGCACAAUUACAUUUAACACCCUAUAAUGCUAUUUCACAAUAUGUAAAUGAUCGAUAUUAGUACUCAGACAUAAAGAGUAGCCCGACUGCUUCGGGAUGGCACUCCCCCACCUCGUGGUGAUGCCGCGACUCUUCGAUUGCGAUUCGCCGACGUUUCGACGCCUCGUUGGCUUUCCCGGCAAAACGACGCUCCGGGGGUCGCCUUCGACAACAACUCCGCACCUACUCGACGAAUCGACGAACCGUCUUCGCCGACGCGUUCAGAGACCUAACAAUUAGGUUUGCGACCCAUCAAAUUAGAUCAAAACCCUAGAUUAGUCAAAACCCCAAAUCGGAGCCCUAGAUCUCGACACUGGAGAAAUCCGCGGUGCGAGCUUCGAUUUCGAGCUCGAACCUUCACCCUAGCUUCAAUAGAUUCCAUUUGAACCAAAUCCAAGCUAUAAAACCCUAGUUAUCCAAAUCCACCAUUAAAGGGUUUAGAGCUUACCUCUAUACCAAGCUCCGAGCUUGAAGAGGGAGAGAAGAAGGUGAUCUUCUUCUUCUUCUUAGUCUUCUCCUUCUCUUUCUCCUUCUUUUCCUUCCUCUCCUUCUUCUUCUUCUUCUUCUCCUUUCUAGAGAGAGAGAGGGAAAGGUGUGAGAGAGGGAGAAAGCAACUGAGGGAGAGAAGGAGGUCCCCAAGCCCUCAUAUAGGCCAUUUUGCAAUUAGCCCCCUCAACUUUUCAUUUUCUGGAACAGCCCUCCCUGGGCCAUUUUCGCAGUGAGGGACCGGUCCCAGCUCGGGGAGACCGGUCCUCGAAAGCUGCACAACCAGGCAGAGGGGAUUUCGCGUUCGGGAACCGGUCUUUGCCUGAGAGACCGGUCCCCGGGAGACCGGUCCUUGUCCGAGAGACCGGUUCCCGAGAGCAACAUCUUCGGGACUUAGCCAAAUUUCGGCUUCACUCGCUGGGCCAACGUUCGGGAACCGGUUCCUCCUCACCAGAGACCGGUUGCAUCACAACCUCCCGCCAGCCCAGCCUGAUGGGACCGGUCCCUCCCUACCAGGGACCGGUCCCUGAGAGCAUUUAUGCUCCAGUGCAGCUUUUGCACUGGUGCUCUCGCGGACACCUCCUCAAUCCACCUUAUGCAUUGUGGUCACCUUCGGACCUUCCGAAGCUUACUCACUCGACAAUCAGUCGAUUCUUGGCGAAGUCUAAUCCUCGAGCUUCGAGAAUUCACUUCCCUUACACUUAAUGAAAUAUUAAAGUCAGUUACAAUGGAAGAAAAAAUAUGUGUUGAAGUCCGAAUCCAAAUCCUAAUCAAUAAUAUUGAUUAGCUCAUGUUCCAUAAUCUGUGAACAUAUGAACCGUCCAAAUAAUAGCAUUUGAGUUUUCCUGAAUCUUUCAUAAGGCAUCUUGCUAUGUUGCUUCCUGUUUCUAUGCAGAUGCACGUACUCAAUAAGAUGCAGGGAUUUGGAAAGGAUAAGCCAGUAACAGCUGAUUUUCUGAUGGACGUGGCAUUUGGAUCCGCAUCUAUACGUCACUUUCUGGAUAAAAUAACUACACAUGCCUGUAGCACUUCUAGAUAUGUACUUAUUCCUGUACAUAGUAAUUGGCAUUGGCAUUUAGUAUCAAUUGAUUUGAAGGAACGACGUUUUGAGAGUUGGAACUCUUUGUGGAGCCACAGCGGGGCACAGGACGCGGCAGAGCUGCUGGUAUUAAUUUAUUCUUCUCAGUAGACAGCUUGUUUUAGUUAUUUAUUCACUCGGCAGUAACAUCUACUAUCCAGUCGUUUUAAUUAAUUUACCAUUUUUUCUCUUGGACAGGCGAAGUGGUUUGCGUCAUAUUUUGAGCACAUCAUCCAAGUCCCCAUUGGCGCUCCUGACGUGGUAUUUCAUAAAGAAUGUCAACAACAGGGUUCCACGGAAGUCGAUUGUGGCAUGUACACAUGCCUUUUUGCCGAAAGAAUUGUAAGAAACGGCCUCCCCGAUCUGUUAUCGUACGAUAAUGACCCCCACUCUUUCCGUGCUCAUAUGGUCAGUGCCAUCUUAAAGGAUCCAUGUUGUGUGACCUAUACUUCAAUGAUUGAGUCCACUGUCGCAAAAGAUGAUGUCUGAAUGUUAUAGGAUUGUGCACUUGUGAGUGGUAUUGGGCAGUUUGUUUAUAUAUGAUUGUGAAUGUGCAAUUGUAAAUUUGUGACUGGUAUUCGGCAGUUUCUUUUUAUAUGAUUGUGAAUUUGUUUAUAUAUUACUCUGAAUUUGUUUAUAUAUGUGACUGUACAAUUGUGCACAUUGUGACUGGUACUGGGCAGAUUGUUUAUAUAUGAUUGUGAAUGUGCAAUUGUGAUAUUGUGACUAGUAUUGUGAAUAUGUUAUAUAUGAUUGUGAAUUUGUUUAUAUAUGACUGUGAAUCCAACUAUAUAUGUGACUGGUACUGGGGAGUUUGCUUAUAUAUGACUGUGAAUUUUUUUAUAGAUGAUUGUGAAAUGUGACAAUUGUGACGGGUACUGGGCAGUUUGUUUAUAUAUGAUUGUGAAUGUUAUAUGUUGUAUUGGAUGUUGUCGAGUUGCUUGGAGAGCCAUGGCAGUUUGUUUAUAGAAACACUGCAAUAUUUUACGGAU
RNAcentral lists this long non-coding RNA (3904 nucleotides) under Ananas comosus (pineapple). Its description in RNAcentral is "long non-coding RNA (ACOM_LNC036683)". Lineage: Eukaryota; Viridiplantae; Streptophyta; Magnoliopsida; Poales; Bromeliaceae. The record is from RNAcentral.